AACGAACGCUGGCGGCAUGCCUAACACAUGCAAGUCGAACGAGCACUUCGGGACUAGUGGCGCAUGGGUGCGUCACGCGUGGGAACAUGCCCUCAGGUUCGGCAUAACUCCCCGAAUGGGGUGCCAUUACCGGACAAUGUCUACGGACCAAAGAUUUAUCGCCUUUGGUUGGACCAGCGUUGAAUUAGCUAGUUGGUAGGGUAAAAGCUUACCAAGGCGAGGAUUAAUAGCUGGUCUGAGAGGAUGAUCAGCCACACUGGGACGGAGACACGGCCGAGACUCCUACGGGAGGCAGCAGAGGGGGAUAGUGGACAAUGGGCGGAAGCCUGAACCAGCAAGGCCGCGAGAGCGAUGAAAGUCGGAGAGUUGAAAAGCGUAAGUACCUGUGAUGAUAAUGACAGUACCUGGAGAGUAAGCCCCGGCUAACUCCGUG
RNAcentral lists this ribosomal RNA (433 nucleotides) under uncultured bacterium. Its description in RNAcentral is "partial 16S ribosomal RNA". It matches the Rfam family "Bacterial small subunit ribosomal RNA", at positions 29 to 507 of the family's 1533-position model. The record is from RNAcentral.